CCAAUAGCGUAUAUUAAAGUUGUUGCAGUUAAAAAGCUCGUAGUUGAAUUUCGGGGUCAAUACGUCGGUCGUGCCUCGGUACGUACUAACGUUAUUGAUCCCUCCCUUCUGACGAACCGUGAUGUCAUUAAUUUGGUGUUGCGGGGAAUCAGGACUGUUACCUUGAAAAAAUUAGAGUGUUUAAAGCAGGCAAUCGCUCGAAUACAUUAGCAUGGAAUAAUGAAAUAGGACGUUCGAACCUAUUUUGUUGGUUUCUAGGAUCGACGUAAUGAUUAAUAGGGAUAGUUGGGGGCAUUAGUAUUCAAUUGUCAGAGGUGAAAUUCUUGGAUUUAUUGAAGACUAACUACUGCGAAAGCAUUUGCCAAGGAUGUUUUCAUUAAUCAAGAACGAAAGUUAGGGGAUCGAAGACGAUCAGAUACCGUCGUAGUCUUAACCAUAAACUAUGCCGACUAGGGAUCGGAUGAUGUUAAUUUUAUAAUGACUCAUUCGGCGCCUUACG
Molecule: ribosomal RNA, 499 nt
Filed under: uncultured Glomeromycotina
Lineage: Eukaryota; Fungi; Glomeromycota
Description: partial small subunit ribosomal RNA
Rfam family: Eukaryotic small subunit ribosomal RNA
Source: RNAcentral